Molecule: ribosomal RNA, 494 nt
Filed under: uncultured bacterium
Lineage: Bacteria
Description: partial 16S ribosomal RNA
Rfam family: Bacterial small subunit ribosomal RNA
Source: RNAcentral
GACGAACGCUGGCGGCGUGCUUAACACAUGCAAGUCGAACGGUGAAGCGCCUUCCUUUUUGGUGGGUGUGGAUGAGUGGCGAACGGGUGAGUAACACGUGAGUAACCUGCCCCCUUCUUCUGGAUAACCGCAUGAAAGUGUGGCUAAUACGGGAUAUUCUGGGUCUGUCGCAUGAUGGGUCUGGGAAAGAUAUUGUUUCGGUGGGGGAUGGGCUCGCGGCCUAUCAGCUUGUUGGUGGGGUGAUGGCCUACCAAGGCGGUGACGGGUAGCCGGCCUGAGAGGGUGGACGGUCACACUGGGACUGAGACACGGCCCAGACUCCUACGGGAGGCAGCAGUGGGGAAUAUGGCACAAUGGGCGCAAGCCUGAUGCAGCGACGCCGCGUGAGGGAUGGAGGCCUUCGGGUUGUGAACCUCUUUCGCCAGUGAAGCAGGCCUGCCUCGUCUGUGGGUGGGUUGACGGUAGCUGGAUAAGAAGCGCCGGCUAACUACGUG